GCCAGCAGCCAUAUCACUCUGCAACUCACAACUGGCAACUGGCAACAACUGUCAGCCCACUGAAGCUCAGCAGGUGUGAGCCUGGUCAGUACCUGGAGGGGAGACCUCCUGGGAAAGCUAAGGUUGCUGCUGGAA
This 135-nucleotide ribosomal RNA is filed under the name Lepisosteus oculatus (spotted gar). Lineage: Eukaryota; Metazoa; Chordata; Actinopteri; Semionotiformes; Lepisosteidae. The record is from RNAcentral.